RNAcentral lists this ribosomal RNA (623 nucleotides) under uncultured bacterium. RNAcentral describes it as "bacterial SSU rRNA". It matches the Rfam family "Bacterial small subunit ribosomal RNA", at positions 56 to 652 of the family's 1533-position model. The record is from RNAcentral.
UGCAAGUCGAACGCGAAAGUCACCUUCGGGUGAUGAGUAGAGUGGCAAACGGGUGAGUAACACGUGGGCAACUUACACUUAGGCGGGGGACAACAUCGGGAAACCGGUGCUAAUACCGCAUGAUGUCUUGGGAUCGCAUGUUCCCAAGACCAAAGGUGGGGAUUCUUCGGAACCUGCCGCCUAGGAAUAGGCCCGCGCCUGAUUAGCUUGUUGGUGAGGUAACGGCUCACCAAGGCUCCGAUCAGUAGCCGACCUGAGAGGGUGACCGGCCACACUGGGAUUGAGAUACGGCCCAGACUCCUACGGGGGGCAGCAGUCUAGAAGCAUCGACAAUGGGGGAAACCCUGAUCGUGCGACGCCGCGUGCAGGACGAAGGUCUUCGGAUCGUAAACUGCUUUCGCCAGGGAAGAAUGGUCCAUAGGUUAAUAGCCUGAGGAUUUGACGGUACCUGGUAAAGAAGCUCCGGAUAAGUCCGUGCCAGCAGCCGCGGUAAUACGGGCGGAGCAAGCGUUGUUCGGAUUUAUUGGGUGUAAAGGGUGCGCAGGCGGUCGAUUAAGUCAGAAGUGAAAUGUCUACGGCUCAACCGAGACACUGCUUCUGAUACUGGUUGACUUGAGUGCGGA